CCUACGGGCGGCAGCAGUGGGGAAUAUUGCACAAUGGGGGAAACCCUGAUGCAGCGACGCCGCGUGAGUGAAGAAGUAUUUCGGUACGUAAAGCUCUAUCAGCAGGGAAGAAAAAAAGUCCUUUGGACUUUGGACGGUACCUGACCAAGAAGCCACGGGUAACUACGUGCCAGCAGCCGCGGGAAUACGUAGGGGGCAAGCGUUAUCCGGAUUUACUGGGUGGAAAGGGAGCGUAGACGGGAGCGCAAGUGUGGAGUGAAACGCCGAGGCCCAACCCCGGAAGUGCUUUGGAAACUGGGGAGCUGGAGUGCAGGAGAGGUGAGCGGAAUUCCUAGUGUAGCGGUGAAAUGCGUAGAUAUUAGGAGGAACACCAGUGGCGAAGGCGGCUUACUGGACUGUAACUGACGUUGAGGCUCGAAAGCGUGGGGAGCAAACAGGAUUAGAUACCCGUGUAGUC
RNAcentral lists this ribosomal RNA (457 nucleotides) under uncultured bacterium. Its description in RNAcentral is "partial 16S ribosomal RNA". It matches the Rfam family "Bacterial small subunit ribosomal RNA", at positions 338 to 795 of the family's 1533-position model. The record is from RNAcentral.